This 847-nucleotide ribosomal RNA is filed under the name uncultured prokaryote. RNAcentral's name for it is "bacterial SSU rRNA". It matches the Rfam family "Archaeal small subunit ribosomal RNA", at positions 508 to 1354 of the family's 1478-position model. The record is from RNAcentral.
GCCUAAAGGGGCCGUAGCUUGAUAAUAGGGUCCCUUGAGAAAUCCGCCGGCUUAACUGGCGGGCGUUCAGGGGAAACUUGUUUUCUAGGGACCGGGAGAGGUGAGGGGUACUGCCGGGGUAGGAGUGAAAUCCUGUAAUCCCGGUGGGACCACCUAUGGCGAAGGCAUCUCACCAGAACGGGUCCGACAGUGAGGGACGAAAGCUGGGGGAGCAAACCGGAUUAGAUACCCGGGUAGUCCCAGCUGUAAACUAUGUGCGUUAGGUGUGUCAGUGACCACGUGUCACUGAGGUGCCGAAGGGAAACCGUGAAACGCACCGCCUGGGGAGUACGGUCGCAAGGCUGAAACUUAAAGGAAUUGGCGGGGGAGCACCACAACGGGUGGAGCCUGCGGUUUAAUCGGACUCAACGCCGGGAAUCUCACCGGAUAAGACAGCUGAAUGAUAGUCGGGAUGAAGACUCUACUUGACUAGCUGAGAGGAGGUGCAUGGCCGUCGUCAGUUCGUACUGUGAAGCAUCCUGUUUAGUCAGGCAACGAGCGAGACCCACGCGAGCAGUUGCCAGCUUGACCUUCGGGUUGAUGGGGACACUGCUCGGACCGCCUCUGCUAAAGGGGAGGAAGGACUGGGCAACGGUAGGUCAGCAUGCCCCGAAUUAUCCGGGCUACACGCGGGCUACAAUGGACAGGACAAUGAGUUUCGACACCGAGAGGUGAGGAUAAUCUUCUAACCCUGUCCCAAGUUCGGAUUGCGGGUUGUAACUCACCCGCAUGAAGCUGGAAUCCGUAGUAAUCGCGUUUCAACAUACCGCGGUGAAUAUGUCCCUGCUCCUUGCACUCACCGCCCGUA